UACGUAGGGUGCAGGCGUUAAUCGGAAUUACUGGGCGUAAAGCGUGCGCAGGCGGUUUGCUAAGACAGGUGUGAAAUCCCCGGGCUUAACCUGGGAACUGCGCUUGUUACUGGCAGGCUUGAGUGUGGCAGAGGGGGGUGGAAUUCCACGUGUAGCAGUGAAAUGCGUAGAGAUGUGGAGGAACACCGAUGGCGAAGGCAGCCCC
RNAcentral lists this ribosomal RNA (205 nucleotides) under uncultured bacterium. RNAcentral describes it as "partial 16S ribosomal RNA". It matches the Rfam family "Bacterial small subunit ribosomal RNA", at positions 524 to 728 of the family's 1533-position model. The record is from RNAcentral.